CAGGAGAAAGGCCCUUUAAAUGUCCCUUUGAAGGCUGCGGUCGGUCUUUUACAACGUCAAAUAUCAGAAAACAGAGAUGGAUCAGUCUGCACAGCUGGAAUCCUCCUGGUCACAGCACAUGUCCCAAGGAAGCCUUAUGCCACUCAGAACAUCAUAUCCAUGGACUCAGAUGAAUCCAAUGACAAGACUGGGAAUUUCCAAGGCAGGCAUAUGAGUCUCCUCUGAUGCUUCACCUACACGCUUCAGAUUCCACAGGCCCAGGGGGGCGAGGAAGCUGCACAAAGAAGGACCAGCAGGAGCCCAGGUGAGGAACGCCUUGCCCUCCCUGCCCAAGUGUGACUGCUCUGCGUACAGUGACUUUAGGGAUUGAAAGGUGACAGGGCAGAAAUCGCUUUCAAGGAGGGCUGCAGGGGCGCUGGACAAACCAGUCUCCCAAAUUCCUUUUGUUAGUACUUGUCUCCAUAAGCAGCCCCCUCCCAAGCUCAUUUAAAUAUGUGAAUAUUAUUAGUGAAAUUGAAAAUCACUUGGUAUAAAGCUACUAUGUGCCUGGCACCAUGUUAAGCACUGUGGGUGGACUUCAUAAUCACUGUCCUCAGGAAGUUCAAGUCUAACUAGGAGACAUGUACACACACCCAGCCAAGCACGUGAGCAAAGACAGGGGAGCAAAGACAAGGUGCCGGAGAUGAGCUCCGGCAACCAGGGGUUCCCGAAGGAAGA
Long non-coding RNA from Felis catus (domestic cat), 717 nucleotides. RefSeq lists it as uncharacterized. The transcript has 3 exons. Lineage: Eukaryota; Metazoa; Chordata; Mammalia; Carnivora; Felidae. The record is from RefSeq and is a predicted model, not a curated record.